AGGACGAACGCUGGCGGCGUGCUUAACACAUGCAAGUCGAGCGGAAAGGCCCUUCGGGGUACUCGAGCGGCGAACGGGUGAGUAACACGUGAGCAACCUGCCCUUAGCUUCGGGAUAGCUCCGGGAAACCGGAAUUAAUACCGAAUAUGACUUUGGCUGACAUCAGCAGAAGUGGAAAGUUUUUCGGCUAGGGAUGGACUCGCGGCCUAUCAGCUAGUUGGUGAGGUAACGGCCCACCAAGGCGACGACGGGUAGCCGGCCUGAGAGGGCGACCGGCCACACUGGGACUGAGACACGGCCCAGACUCCUACGGGAGGCAGCAGUGGGGAAUAUUGCGCAAUGGGCGAAAGCCUGACGCAGCGACGCCGCGUGGGGGAUGAAUGCCUUCGGGUUGUAAACCCUUUCAGCAGGACGAAGCGAAAGUGACGGUACCUGCAGAAGAAGCGCCGGCUAACUACGCGCCAGCAGCCGC
This 472-nucleotide ribosomal RNA is filed under the name uncultured bacterium. RNAcentral's name for it is "SSU rRNA". It matches the Rfam family "Bacterial small subunit ribosomal RNA", at positions 26 to 518 of the family's 1533-position model. The record is from RNAcentral.